Molecule: small nuclear RNA, 101 nt
Filed under: Camelus dromedarius (Arabian camel)
Lineage: Eukaryota; Metazoa; Chordata; Mammalia; Artiodactyla; Camelidae
Source: RNAcentral
GUGAGAUGUGGCACGUAAACUAAAAUUGGAACGAAACCAAGAAGAUAAGCAUGACCCUCGGUAAGGAUGACAUGCAAAUUUGUGAAGCGUUCCAUAUUUUU